GAUGAACGCUGGCGGCGUGCCUAAUACAUGCAAGUCGAGCGAACAGACGAGGAGCUUGCUCCUCUGACGUUAGCGGCGGAAGGGUGAGUAACACGUGGAUAACCUACCUAUAAGACUGGGAUAACUUCGGGAAACCGGAGCUAAUACCGGAUAAUAUAUUGAACCGCAUGGUUCAAUAGUGAAAGACGGUUUUGCUGUCACUUAUAGAUGGAUCGGCGCCGCAUUAGCUAGUUGGUAAGGUAACGGCUUACCAAGGCAACGAUGCGUAGCCGACCUGAGAGGGUGAUCGGCCACACUGGAACUGAGACACGGUCCAGACUCCUACGGGAGGCAGCAGUAGGGAAUCUUCCGCAAUGGGCGAAAGCCUGACGGAGCAACGCCGCGUGAGUGAUGAAGGUCUUCGGAUCGUAAAACUCUGUUAUUAGGGAAGAACAAAUGUGUAAGUAACUAUGCACGUCUUGACGGUACCUAAUCAGAAAGCCACGGCUAACUACGUG
This 497-nucleotide ribosomal RNA is filed under the name uncultured bacterium. RNAcentral describes it as "partial 16S ribosomal RNA". It matches the Rfam family "Bacterial small subunit ribosomal RNA", at positions 28 to 507 of the family's 1533-position model. The record is from RNAcentral.